This 198-nucleotide ribosomal RNA is filed under the name uncultured bacterium. RNAcentral's name for it is "partial 16S ribosomal RNA". It matches the Rfam family "Bacterial small subunit ribosomal RNA", at positions 328 to 539 of the family's 1533-position model. The record is from RNAcentral.
ACGCUCGACACCUACGGGAGGCNGCAGUGGGGAAUAUUGCACAAUGGGGGAAACCCUGAUGCAGCGACGCCGCGUGGAGGAAGAAGGUCUUCGGAUUGUAAACUCCUGUUGUUGGGGAAAAAGAGGAUGGUACCCAACAAGGAAGUGACGGCUAACUACGUGCCAGCAGCAGCGGUAAUCUGAGCGGGCUGGCAAGGC